AGGACGAACGCUGGCGGCGUGCUUAACACAUGCAAGUCGAGCGGAAAGGCCCUUCGGGGUACUCGAGCGGCGAACGGGUGAGUAACACGUGGGUGAUCUGCCCCAGACUCUGGGAUAACUCCGGGAAACCGGGGCUAAUACCGGAUAUGACCUACCUUCGCAUGGGGGUGGGUGGAAAGUUUUUCGGUCUGGGAUGGGCCCGCGGCCUAUCAGCUUGUUGGUGGGGUAAUGGCCUACCAAGGCGACGACGGGUAG
Molecule: ribosomal RNA, 255 nt
Filed under: uncultured bacterium
Lineage: Bacteria
Description: partial small subunit ribosomal RNA
Rfam family: Bacterial small subunit ribosomal RNA
Source: RNAcentral